Molecule: long non-coding RNA, 336 nt
Filed under: Gossypium raimondii (Peruvian cotton)
Lineage: Eukaryota; Viridiplantae; Streptophyta; Magnoliopsida; Malvales; Malvaceae
Description: long non-coding RNA (GRAI_LNC005663)
Source: RNAcentral
GAUUAUAUAGGGAUUAAAUUGAACAUAUCAUACUUUUACAUAAUAUUAAUAAUUUAAAUCAAUCAAUCAUGGAUUCUAGCCUAAAUCAUUCUAUUAGGGACUUAAUUAAACAAAAUUAAACAUUAAAAAAAGUUUGGGAAUUGAUUAGGGACUAAUUUGAAUAAGAUAUAAAAUUUUGGGUCAAAACAUGAUUUUUGCAAAAUAGGGGAAAAAUUAUAAAAUUUAAAAAAAAUGGGCAAAACUAUAAAAUAAAAAAUAGGGGUAAAACUAUAAAAUUAAAAAAUAAAGGCAAAACUGUAAAAUCUAAAAAAUAGUGGCAAAAUUGUAAAAUCUGAA